GAAAAUGGCUGAUAAAUGUCACAUCUAUCUGCUGGGACUGAUAAUUCUCUGCUCACCUCUCACAGAAUAAACACACACAUGCACUGUGUGUCAGGUACCAGUGAAGUGGAAGACAUCCAUGUGUUCUUCACUGAUGGUGAAAAUGUCACUCUGCCAUGUAAUAAUGCUCGUUCUGACUGCACAUCAACUACAUGGAACUAUUAUGGAGAAGGAUAUUCAGAGCCUGAGGUACUGAUUUCUGAAGGAAUAAAGAAGAAUGACACAGAGAGACAUGAGAGACUGAAUCUGGGGUCUGACUGUUCUCUGAACAUCUAUAAAACCACAAAAGAAGAUUAUGGACUUUACAACUGCUGGAAAAAUGUGAAUGGAGAGAGAUCAUAUACUGAAAAUGUUUUUCUGCAUUUUCUUCAUGUCUCUCCACCAUCUACACAGACUGAGAUCAGACCAGGCAGCUCUGUGACUCUCUCCUGUCAAUUAUAUUCAUUUGAUAGACAUACUUUGUGUAUUAGGGGAUUUAAACUGGUCUGGGUGAAUGAAUCUGAUGUUAAUCUGCAAACAGACUCCAGAUAUCAGAUAUCAUCCUCUCCAGAACACUGUAACAUCACUCUGACUACAACACUCCUGAAUGAAGACAACAACAGAGAGUGGAGAUGUCAGAUUACUGAAGGAACUGACGUGAAGACCUCAGUCAGCUAUACUGUCAAGUAUUUGGACACCUCAGAUAGAUGGUUAUACAAAGUGAUUCCUGCUGUAACUGUUGCUGUAGUUGCUCUUCUUACUCUUGUUAUUCUCUGGCUGAUCUGUAAAAGAAGAGCUGACAAAAAUAAAAAGGCUCAGGAUCCACAAGGGUCAGAUAAGAGGUCAGAUGCUUCAGUCUGUGAGACCAUCAACAGUUUCAUCCCUCCUGCGGUUGAUGUUCAUGAGAAGACAGAUGAUGUGUCUUAUGCUGAGGUCAUCACUUACAGAAAAUCACCUAAUGAAAGUCAAAAUGUUCAUUCUGAUGAUAAAGUGACGUACGCUGCCAUCAGAGGAGCAAAAUGAGUCCAGGAAAACUGCAGUGCAACUAAUGCAUCUGUGAUCAAGAAUCCACCCAAAUAAAUACCAAAGACCAACAGAUAUCAAAUAAGCAGAAAAUUGAAUUAUUGCACGGUGGAGUAAGAAGAUGACAAUUUAUAAGUGUUUAUUACCAUCUUUCCCUAUCUGUCACUCACUCGAUGUUGUGUCGAUGUAGUGACACUAUGGGUCACUCUUGGGAGCCCGAGACACCUCUGGUCUUUGAUAAAAGGCCAAUGAAAAUUGGUGAGUGGUAUUUGCAUGCCACUCCCCCGGACAUACGGGUAUAAAAGGAGCUGGUAUGCAACCAGUCAUUCAGAUAUUCUCUUCAGAGCCAAACGGUCAUGCUCACAGAGCUGAAUUCCCACAACUGUUCAUUCACCUUUGCUGGAUCUGACGGCGCAUUUCAGCGGCUUCUCCCUCCUCUGCACUGGUGCACUGCAGAGAACGCCCCUGGGCGCUUCGGCAGAAAUAAGAGUAUAUUUCUCUAAAAGAGCGGCACACACGAAACGUCUUUUUAAAGAUGUGUCUUUUUAAAGAUGCCUUUCCUUUGUGUGUUAUUCCUGGUUGCGCACGUUAUCUCUCGCCUUCUGACGGUCACGAUCACUAUCCUUCGUGUCUGGGCUCUGCUCACGUAGAGACAGCGUUCGUGGAUGGGUCAUGUACUCAUUGCGAGGACAUGUCCAUGGCAACGAUGCGGUCGCGUCUUAACUUCGUAAGAAAGCAAGCCACCCCAGAGGCUCCCCGCCUUGGUCCUUUUACCCACGGGUAUGAGGCCAGCGCGGCUAGCACUGGGGGCAAUUUGGGUACCCCAAUGGGACCGCCUCCGCCGGGUAUCCCCCGGAUCUCUCAUUGCCCAGCACGCUCGUCUGCCCCGAUCGGGCUUCCGGAUGAGUCCGCUGGCUCGUCUCACGGUGAGUUCGACCUCUUAUUCGGAGCCAGUGAAAGUGAUGAGCUCUCGAGCGCAGCAUCGGAGAGCGGGCUCAUCCACUCGGACACGGAAGUCUCAGCUGGGCUCCUCACUUCGGGGACGAUUGUCCAGUCAAAGGCUGAAGCGGAGAUGACGAUAUGCUUUCCCGGGCAGCCGCGAGUGUUGGAGCGGAACCCUCAUUAUAUAUUUCAUAUAUUUUUUUUUCCACUUUUUUGUUGCUUGCUUUAAAAUAUUGUUUUGAAAUAUUUGAAAGCAUAAUAUUUUGAUAUGCUGUUAUAUCCAUGUUAUGCUGAAUAACAUAAAUCUAUGUCUGGCAGUUUUCAUGUAAAUACUAUUCCUUCUUAAACUAAUAUCAGUGUUAAAUAAAACAAAAAAACUUUCCUUUAAGAUUCAAUAUUUAACCCCUGGAUUUCUCAAUGGGCCGUGCUAUCUCUGUAAAAGACAUAUUACAUAAAGAGGAUUUAAAAAACAUUUAAAAGCAUUUUUUUUUUCUUCUUCACAUUUUAGCAGUGUGGCUGUUGAGAAAUGGUCAGUGUGGGCAAAAAGUACACUGUAAAAAAUGGUAACCUCCAAGUAAUACUUAAGGAGCAAUUUCUAACCGAUUUAACCCUUAAAAUUAGUUUGUUAGGAAAACCUAUGUAUAGGUAUACCUAUGUAUACAGCUUGAUUUAGUGAUGUUAAAUAAUAUUUUUGACUUAAAACCAGUUAAUUUACAUGUUACCACAUAAAGCACAUUUAAGAUGAAUUUUCAGAUUUCUUUAUUUUUUGUAUGUGGAAGGAAUUGUCAGGAUUGUUCUCCGGAUUUGACUGAGCUCUUGUUCAUUUGGAUUAUCGCCCAUGGAGCAUUCUGAUUUUAUUGGACUCUGUGCUCCACUGCCGACAGUCACCAUACACUGAAGUUUUGUUCAGUUCUAUUGUUUUUUCCCUGUAUCUCUGUUCAGUUAAUAAAGACUUUGUUUUUUCACUCACCUCUGCUUUUGAGUCUUCUGAUACCUGACAGGAAUCAGCUUAUAUGAAUUUGUAUUUAUUUAUUUCAGAUUGAUAUUAGCUCUAAAUUCAAAGUGUAGUACCUGACAUAAUAUAUGUUCAUUUACAAUUUAAUGCAAGUAAUUUAAUGAAAAUCUAUUAAUUUCUCUAUAUAUUUCCAACCAUUUCCUCAUCCAGUUCACUGUAUCUCACCUCACUGCCCCCCUGACCUGAACAAGUACCAAUCUUAUCUUCCUCCUCCUCUAGACCUGUAAUAGUUGAUGACUCCAGGUUACAUCACUUAUGUGUUCAUUAAAAGUCACUUUUAAAAAAUGCAUCUGCUGAUUAAUUUAAUAUUUAUAAUUGUAUUAUUUAUGCAAUAAUAAAGUUAUUCACUUUAAAACUGUAAAAGAUCCAUCUUCAGUAAGCAGAUGCUUCAAACACAUUUUCUGAGUGAAAAUUAAUUUGAAACUGUUAUAAUUAAGCUGCACAAGGUAGUUUAAUUGACACGGAGGCAUUAGUAUGCAGGAGAACAAACUUUUUAUUAUCACUUGCAGAGGUACAACUGUUAAACUGCACUGCCCCCUGCAAACACAUGCACAUUGUGAUGAAACCCUGUUACACAGGAAUUACCAUAUAUGAACUUAACUUCCUUAGACACACCCACAGCGUAUCAUUAAUAACUGCAUAGCAUCAUCAGUUAUCUACAUCCCCGUUCCUUAGUUCUAUACCUCCCUCUAAUAGAAAACACUUUAAUUUGACAAACAUUUGUAUAACAUCCAAAUGAUGUUAAAACUUAAAGUACUAACUAAUAAUCAAAUUACUUCUUAAAAAAACAUUCUUUACAUCAGAUUUUCCACAAUAUGUAUACUCAACAAUUAUACUUAGGAUUGGGCUUGGAAAUCCGGCCAUAUCUAGAUAUGGAAGUUUUUGAACAAUUGGUUCAACCACAACGUUCUCUUCGGCAUGCACUGCAUCUUUUGAUACAAUGUUGUUGUCUGGCACAGAUCUGAGAUCUGACAACAAGUCCUCCAGAUCAGUUUGUGCUUGGUGGGGGAUCGGCUCUACUACAGGAAGUAGAUGCUUGUGGUUCCUCUUGUAUUCUCUACCUUCUGACUCCACAACGUAAGAUCUGGGCUCUGUGAGGACAUUCCUUAUUACCCCAAUCUUAUCAUGGCCUUUUGCUAUUUGCAUCUGAACCACUUGAGACUCAUGCAGUGAAGAGAGUGGUUUACUCCUCUUGUCGUAGAACACUUUCUGCAUUUGUCUCUUUUUCCUGAGUUGAGCUUUAACUUUCAGUGUUCUUUGAUCUUGGUUUCAGCAUCUGCUUGCUGAUAGGCAUGUUAGUGCUCGUCACCCUGUACAUCAGUCUUUGUGCAGGUGAACCCAGUACUUUAUCUCAAGGAAUGUUGCGGAUGUUCAACAAAUUCAGAGACAACUCUGUUCCAUCCCUUUUCGUGGUUUCAAUAAGGCACUUUGCACUGCGAACAGCCCUCUCUGCGAGACCAUUCACCUGGGGAUACUCAGGACUGCUGGUAAUAUGACAGAAAUCCCAUGAUCGUGCAAAUUCUUUGAAAUCCUGGCUUGAGAACUGGGUGCCAUUGUCAGAUAUUACAUUCUGGGGAAUUCCAUGCACAGAAAAAUGUCUCUGAGUUUGUUGAUGACAUUUUGCGAUGACAGGGUGCUGAGUUGGUUUAUUUCAAACCACCCGAAAUAGGAAUCUACCAACACUAGGUAUUGCUUUCCAUUCCAGUCAAAUAUAUCCGUAGCGACUACAGACCAGGGCGGUUCUGGAAUCACAUGUAGGUGCAAUGGCUCCUUUUGUUGAUGUGGUUUCAGGGCAUUACAAAUGUUGCAAGAUUGUAUGAAAAUGUCAAUGUCCCGAGUCAUAGUUAUUUUGCAGAGAGCUGUCUUUUGCUGUGUGUUCUUUGAGCUCUUGCAAAUGAUUGAACGAAAUCAGUUGGACAGUCAAUACCUCAAAUUCGUCCUCGUCUUUGUGAAGCUGCGUUGUUACUUUCCUUGGAGCAUGUGACAGUGUGUCAGCCAAAUAAAGUUGCUUUCCUCUUUUGUAGAUUAGAUUCUCUGUAGUCGAGCUGUGAGCAUUGUGUAAGGGCUUAUUUAAAAUUGUAACAAGAGAUUGGUGAUCUGUUUCCAUCAUAAUAGGCUUCCCAUAGAUGUAGUCAUAGAAUUUUUGACAUGCAAAUACUACAGCUAACAACUCCUUUUCAAUUUGGGCUUAUCUCAUCUCAGUUUCUGUGCGGGAGCAUGAAGCAUAGCCGAUAGGCUCUCCAUGUUGUAAGCAUGCUGCUCCUAAACCAUACUGUGAAGCAUCGCACGUUAGUGACAGGUUUGCUUACGUCAAAGUACUUCAGCACAGGUGGGCAUGUGAUAUAUUCUUUUAGCUUAUCGAAUGCUUCUUGCUGUUGCUGUGACCAAUACCAAACUACGUCCCUGUGUAGCAACUGUUGAAGUGGUGCUGAUAACUCACUGAAAUUUGGAAUAAAUUUACCCAAAUAAUUAGCGAUACCCAGAAAGUGUUGCAGGGCAGCUUUGUCAUCUGGCAAUGGCAUUUCUGUGACAGCCUGUAUUUUAGCUGGAUCUGGUUUUAAUCCAUGCUCUGUGAACAGAUGACCUACAUAACUGACCUCUUUUAACCUGAACUUGAAUUUCUGUGGAUUUAGUUUCAGUUUCACCUUCCGUGCUCUGUCCAGGACCUUUCUAAAAUUCUCAUCAUGCUCUUUCUUUCCCUUUCCUCCAACAAUGAUGUCAUCCACGAUAAUGUCACAUGGGAGACCUGCGAAGAUCUGCUCCAUUGCUCGCUGGAACACCACUGAUGCUGAAUUAAUGCCGGAAGGCAUUCGCAAGAAAAGAUACCUGCCGAAAGGCAUUGCAAAAGUAGUGCGCAGGUAUUCGACAAGGGGGCCGGACCACUGGAGUCACUUCCGGGUUUAUUUUCAUUGUGUACAUCAUAGAUGUUCAGAAACACAGGAAGGACUGAUGAUGUUUAAAGGAAGAGUUCAUAUAUUGAAAAGAAGAAGACUGACAGAGACAGAAAAUGGCUGAUAAAUGUCACAUAUAUCUGCUGGGACUGAUAAUUCUCUGCUCACCUCUCACAG
This is an RNA transcript of Myxocyprinus asiaticus (Chinese sucker), 6066 nucleotides long. RefSeq lists it as uncharacterized. The record is from RefSeq and is a predicted model, not a curated record. NCBI's taxonomy places the organism in Eukaryota, Metazoa, Chordata, Actinopteri, Cypriniformes, Catostomidae. The transcript has 11 exons.